GGUUCCAUAGUGUAGAUGUUAUCACGUUUGCUUUACACGCAGAAAGUCCUGGGUUCGAGCCCCAGUGGAACCA
Nerophis ophidion (straightnose pipefish) is the source of this 73-nucleotide non-coding RNA. Lineage: Eukaryota; Metazoa; Chordata; Actinopteri; Syngnathiformes; Syngnathidae. The record is from the annotation of a RefSeq genome assembly.